This 4224-nucleotide long non-coding RNA is filed under the name Callithrix jacchus (white-tufted-ear marmoset). Its description in RNAcentral is "lncRNA (ENSCJAG00000072712.1)". The record is from RNAcentral. Lineage: Eukaryota; Metazoa; Chordata; Mammalia; Primates; Cebidae.
GUGUGGAAGGUCUGGGGCUCCUCCCAGCGCUCCUUCCUCUCCGGCUUUCUUGGUUGACCACAGAUGCCUCGUGGGGAGGUCCUCAGCUCUCCUGCCCGGCUCAUCUCCAGAAGGCAGCGCCUGGCUCUGUCCCAGGGCAGGAGCCUCAUGCCCUCCUGCGGUUCUGGCCCACCGCCAGCCCCAGAUUUAGGCACUUCCUGCCAAAACCCUCAAAACAGAGCCUUGGGGAGGAGGCGGCGGGUGGUCGUGGACCAGGAAUCCGGGCAUCUGGGAAUCUUGUCUGAGGUGCCAGCCCUCGGGCAUGGCUUCACUUUUCCUCCGACGUCCAGCAGGCCCCUCCCUGUCACUGUGCAGUCGCCCCUCCCCGUUCCCGCAGGCCCCUCCCUGCCUCGGUGCAGUCCACCCCUCCCGGUCCCAGCAGGCCUUGGCAGCAGCCAGAGCCUCUCCUCUCUGGGAGGGCUCAGCUCUCUUGGGACCUGAUUCCUUGGAGUUUCUCUAUGUCCUUGCCUCUGGUGGGUUAUUAAACUAUUGUGCCUUCGUGGAUGCUUUUGGGUUUAUCUGGUUCAUUUUUAUUGAUGUGAUGAGAGCAAUGGUCUCUGGUGACUUUCUGUGUUUGAAUCAGAAUGGAAAGUCCAUUGUUUCACACACAUGUGUGCACAGACACACACACUUACACACACUGGAAAUUGUAUUACAGAGGAGAAAAGGAACACACACAUCUCUUAGGAAGCCACACCUCUCAAAAUUGAGAUAUUUCGUGAACACAGCAGGUUGCCAAUCAGCCACAUACCCAGAAUCUAGAUGAGAAGGGCCCCUUUGGAGGUGAUUAUCUGGGGUGGGAGCUGCUUCUCACUGUUCAGUUACCUUGACUAUUCUGACCAGCCUAGUGACCCAGCUCAUUAAAGAGAAAUUGAUUUUAAAAAUCAAUUUAUGUAUAAUGAGUAUUAUAAAACACUGCUCCAGGAAUUCAGAGAUGACACAAACAAGUGGAAAAACAUUCCAUGUUUAUGAAUGGGAAGAAUCAAUAUUCUUAAAAUGGCCAUACCACCCAAAGCAAUUUAUAGAUUCAAUGCUAGCCCUAUAAAACUAUUACUGACAUUCUUCACAGAACUUGAAAAAGCGAUUUUAAAAUUCAAAUGGAACCAAAAAAGAGCCUGAAAAGCCAAAGUAACACUAAGUAAUAAGAAUAAAGCUGGAGGCAUCACGCUACGUGACUUCAAACUAUACUACAGGGCUACAGUAACCAAAACAGCAUGGUACUGGUACAAAAACAGGCAUGUAGACCAAUGGCACACAACAGAGAGCCAAGAAAUAAGGCCACACACCUAUGACCAUCUGAACUUCGACAAAGAUAAGAAAAAGAAGCAAUAGGAAAAAACUCCUAUUCAAUAAAUGGUAUUGGGACAACUGGGUAGCCAUAUGCAUAUGCAGAAGAUUGAAACUAGACCCCUUCCUCACACGAUACAUAAAAAUCAACUCAAGAUGGAUUAAGGACUUAAAUAUAAAAGCCAAAACUAUAAAACACCUGGGAUACAACCACAGUAAAACCAUCCAGGACAUAGGAACAGGCAAAUAUUUCAUGAUGAAGACACCAACGAAGACAUGUUGCUUUUUUUUUUUUUUUUUUUUUUUUGCAACAAAAGCAAAAAUUGACAAGAGGAACCUAAUUAAACUAAACAGCUUCCGCACAGCAAAAGAAACUAUCAACAGAGUAAACAGACAACCUACAGAAUGGGAGAAAAUAUUUGUAAACUAUGCCCCUGACAAAUGUCUAAUACUCAAUAUCUAUAAAGAACUUAAACAAAUUCCUAAGAGUAAAACAACCCCAUUACCAAGUGAGCAAAGGACGUGAAUAAACACUUCAAAAGAAGACAUACGUACAGCCAACAAGCAUAUGAAAAACAAGCUCAACACAACUGUGAAGCCCAAGAAAUGAGCGCAACAGAGUGCAGGGCAUGAGGCCCAUUUACAAAGUCACUGCAGUGCUGUUGGCAACAGCAAAGACAUGGAAUCAACAUCAGUGCCCAUCAGUGACAGAUUGGAUAAAGAAAACCUGGUGCACAUACACCAUGGAAUACUCUGCAGCCCCAAAAAAGAACUAGAUCAUGUCACUGACAGGGAAAUGGACAGAGCGAGAGGCCAUCUAUGACCAUCAUCCCUACAAACUAACGCAGGAACAGAAAACCAAAUGCCGCACUUUCUCACUUCUAAGUGUGAACGAAACGAUGAGAACACACGGACACGUAGAGGGGAACAGCACACACUGGGGUCUACCUGAGGGUGGGGGUGGGAGGAAGGAGAGGAGCAGGCAGAAUAACUAUUGGGUACUUGACUGAGUACUUGGGUCAUGAGAUAAUCUGUACAACAAACCCGGUCACACGAGUUUACUUAUGUAAUAAACCUGGACAUGUACCCCGACCCUAAAAUAAAAGUUAAAAAAAUUAUUAAAAAAUAAUUAAACUUAUUUCUAAAAUGUCCGUGUGUGCAUUAAAGUGUUGUUUAGAUGCGAAUAAAUCCAGCUUUGGUAAACUGGAAGAUACUCAUGCCCGCAUGACCCAGACGGCAAGAGAGAGAGAAGGAGACAGAAUCUGUUGUGGGGAGGAUGAGGUGUGACGGUGGACGUGGGUUCACUGAGAGUUCCAGGAGACAACGGGGACACUGGAGAGCAGGGGAAGGAAGAAUGGGCCUCUCAGGCUCACGACUAGAUGACAGACACCCCAACUCAACAUGGACAAAAUCGGCCAGGCACGGGGGCUCACACCUGCAAUCCCUGUUGAGGUGAGACGAUCUUGUGAGCCCAGGAGGCUGAGGUUGCAGGGAGCCAACACCUGCCAUUGCACUCCAGCCUGGGUGACAGAGGAAGACCCUGUCUCAAAAAACCAAAAUGAAAUGGUCAAAGUGUUUGAAUAGACAUUGUCCUAAAGAGAAUAUGUGCGUGGGCACCGCCACAUGAAAAGACACUCGACAUCCCUGGUCGUUACCAAACUGAAAAUUUAAACAAGGCCUCCGAGUCUCCCCGCUACAACUGCUGCGACCCUGAAGGACGAUGAUGACAAACGCUGGCAGAGACGUGGAGAAACAGGGAACCGCGAACCCUCAGGCAUCGCUGGUGAGUCAGGCUCCAUCCGACCUGAAGAACGGUGCUGCGCUUUCUUCAAAAGUUAAAUGUAAAUUUACCAUGCGGCCCAUCGUUUCACUCCUGGCAUCUACCCAGGAGAAGUGAGAGCCUACGACCCCACAGGGAUCUGGACACCCGCGUCCACAGCAGCAGAUUCACAGAGGCCAGACAGUGGAGCGGUCGCCAGUGUCCGCUGCUGACCAAUGUACACGUGAGGUCGGUGCAUACAAGGGCACGAUGUCAGCAAAGAAGGAAUAAAACAUAAUGUUGGGCCGGGCGCGGUGGCGCAAGCCUGUAAUCCCAGCACUUUGGGAGGCCGAGGCGGGUGGAUCACGAGGUCAAGAGAUCGAGACCAUCCUGGUCAACAUGGUGAAACCCCGUCUCUACUAAAAAUACAAAAAAUUAGCUGGGCAUGGUGGCGCAUGCCUGUAAUCCCAGCUACUCGGGAGGCUGAGGCAGGAGAAUUGCCUGAACCCAGGAGGCGGAGGUUGUGGUGAGCCAAGAUCGGGCCAUUGCACUCCAGCCUGGGUAACAAGAGCGAAACUCCGUCUCAAAAAAAAGACACCGCAUAAUGUCACAACACGGAUGGACCGCAAACAAGUUAUCCCCAGUGGAAGAAGCCUGGCACAGAAGAUCCAUCUCACGCGAUUCCCCCAACAGACCGCCUUCGAGAAGGCAAACCAGAGAAACUGAAUUUCCUUUUCUGUAAUGACCAGGGAUGUUGAGAUCUUUUCACAGAGCAGUACCCGCUAAUUCACCCUCCCUGGAAAAAGAUUCCAAUGUUCUGUGCGCUUCACAUCGGGGUGUUGUCGUCUGACUGUUGAGUUUGGAAGGCCUGUUCUCCCUUCGCCUGCUCACCGGAGUCGCUGUCGUUUCAUCCUGGAAGUGUCAUUGGAGCUAAACCAACGUCCCGGCAAUUCUCCCACCCUGGAUCCCAUCUCCUCUCUCUGCUGCCUGCGGGGUCCUGUCCACAUAUCCUCCUGUUUACACGUCCGCAUUCAUUUCUACGUGUGCGUGUGUUCGCUUCUAAACAGCACAUUUAAAAGCAGACAUUUUAAACAUCAAUUUCUUUAAUGAGCUAUGUCAUUAGGCGAGUGAGAAUAGUC